RNAcentral lists this ribosomal RNA (498 nucleotides) under uncultured bacterium. RNAcentral's name for it is "bacterial SSU rRNA". It matches the Rfam family "Bacterial small subunit ribosomal RNA", at positions 27 to 513 of the family's 1533-position model. The record is from RNAcentral.
GGACGAACGCUGGCGGCGUGCCUGACACAUGCAAGUCGAACGGAGCUAUGCGCUGAACGGAGAGCAGCUUGCUGAAGGAAGUUCUUGUAUAGCUUAGUGGCGGACGGGUGAGUAACGCGUGAGCAACCUGCCUUUCAGAGGGGGAUAACGUUUGGAAACGAACGCUAAUACCGCAUAAGACCACACUUCCACAUGGGAGAGGGGUCAAAGGAGCAAUCCGCUGAAAGAUGGGCUCGCGUCCGAUUAGAUAGUUGGGGGGGUAACGGCCCACCAAGUCGACGAUCGGUAGCCGGACUGAGAGGUUGAACGGCCACAUUGGGACUGAGACACGGCCCAGACUCCUACGGGAGGCAGCAGUGAGGGAUAUUGGUCAAUGGGGGAAACCCUGAACCAGCAACGCCGCGUGAGGGAAGACGGUUUUCGGAUUGUAAACCUCUGUCCUCUGUGAAGAUAAUGACGGUAGCAGAGGAGGAAGCUCCGGCUAACUACGUGCCAGCA